This 299-nucleotide long non-coding RNA is filed under the name Capsicum annuum. Its description in RNAcentral is "long non-coding RNA (CANN_LNC005272)". The record is from RNAcentral. Lineage: Eukaryota; Viridiplantae; Streptophyta; Magnoliopsida; Solanales; Solanaceae.
GAGGCCUUGAGUCGAGAAAUGAAGAGCGGAAAUGAUGCUAUAAGGAGUGAUAUGGAUUCAAGAGGGGUGACAUGAUUAGAAUUAGAGCGAGGAUUGAUAGACUAUGUCCACCAAAAUCUCCAUAAUUCCAAACACCUCAAGUCCAAAGAUCCAAUGCUUCACAAAACCAGCCACUAAACCCACCCCAAACUUCCCCUAACCGGACCCUACAAAGACUAUUACAUCACCAAAUGAACUAAGUCCAACAAGAGGGACUUGGAACUCAAACUCCACCACCAAAUCCAAACCUAAUACCCCCG